This 8247-nucleotide long non-coding RNA is filed under the name Lactuca sativa (garden lettuce). Its description in RNAcentral is "long non-coding RNA (LSAT_LNC008974)". The record is from RNAcentral. Lineage: Eukaryota; Viridiplantae; Streptophyta; Magnoliopsida; Asterales; Asteraceae.
UAGGAUUAGGUUAUAUAGUUAGGGAAAACCUCUUACUAACAAUGUACAAUCAUAUCCCUUUAAUAUCAAUGUAUUACAAAUUUUUGACAUGAUAUUAUUAGAUGAAAUUGAUUGUUUUGGUAUAUAUUUGUUUCUAUAUUUUUGUAUUAUGCGUAAAAGAGUAUCGUAAAAGCACGUCGUAUAUGCACAUCGUAAAUGGUUGCUGAUGUUUAUGACACGCAAAUGCGUGUCAUCUUCAUUUAUGACAGGGGCUUCCUUGAUACGCAUUGUGUGUCAUUAACACGCGCGUCGUAAGGUUACGACACGCGAACGCGUGUCGUCUUCCUUUAUGACAGGGCCUUCCUUGAUACGCAUUGCGUGUCGUAAACGCGUGUCGUAAUUGCACGUCGUAAAUGAGCGUCGUAAAAGCGCGUCGUCUAUAGUCGACGCGCAAAAUCGCGUCAUGUCUCUUUAUGACAGGGCCUUCCUUGACGCGCAUUUGCGUGUCGUCUGAGCCUUUUACGACGCACAAUGAGCGUCGUAAAAGGUUGUUUUUCUAGUAGUGACAACACCCAUUCUUGCUAAUAUGUUAAUGUACAAUUUCAUUUUUAGAACAUGUGCACAUACAAAAUAUCCAGCUUUAUGUUUACAUGCCAAUAAGGCUUGAGUGGUUUCAUAUCUUUUGACGUUAGGAAUACAUGACGUUGGGAGAGUCAUAGAAGGAGGAGGUGGAAGAGUUGAAGAGAGGUGAUGUCCAGUUCCAUCAUUUCCUAAUGAAAGUAAAACAAUUUCACAUUGACCUUAAAUUGGAAGACCAUCACCUGAAUAUUAAGGAAAAACAUUUUCAUAAGAAUUAGGAAGACCAUUUAUAUCUUCAUAAGACAUAAAAAAUGGAAAAAUAAAGAAUUCAAGUUAGUUGAUUUUAAUCCUUAAUUAUUAACCCAAAAUUUAAAUUAAGGCUAGGAUCCAUAUUUUCAAAUUAAACUUUUAGAAGGGAUGUCGUAAUCAAAGUUGAAUAUAUUUUAGGUAGGUAAGGCUUUUACCCAUUUCAGUUGUCACACCCCGCUAAAGCGGAAAUACGGGGUGUGGCAGUACAAAGGGUUUCAUAGCAAAAGUUAAAAGACAACACCAACCAUAGUAUUAAAAAUCAUUACAAAUUUACAAUGAGUUUGAAAAAAUAUUUAAAAGAAAUUACAAUGUAUUUAAAAGUCAACACAUGCAAAUGCUCCUAUAAGUGUUGUGUCUCUACGUGCCUCUUACUAGAUGAUUCCUAAAAAAGCAUAUAAAAUGAGCGUCAACUAUAAAAAUAGUUGGCGAGUUCAUAGGUUUACAAAAAUAUUGGUUUCAUGAAUCGUAAUCAAAGUUUUGAUAUAAGUUUCCAUAAAUAAAAGUAUAUUGCUAAAAUGAGUAAAUAAGUUUGCAUAAACAAAGUUCGUUGUUAUCAUGAGAAAUAAAGUACAUUGCCAAAAGGAUAUGCAAAGUUCACAUUCUCAUGGGAAAUACAAGUUUCAUUAGUAAAAUAAGUAUAAAAGUUUCGUUGCUAAAAUAAGUAUACAAGUUUCAUUGCUAAAAUAAGUAUACAAGUGUCGUAGCUAACAUGAUUAUACAAGGUUCGUUGCUAAAAUAAGUAUAAAAGUUUCGUUACUAAAAUAAGUAUACAAGUUUCAUUGCUAAAACAACUAUACAAGUGUCGUUGCUAACCUGAUUAUACAAGUUUCGUAUGUGUAUAAAGAUUCCAUUCAUGAGUUCAUAACCCAAGCCUAAUGAUCGAAUCGUGCCCUAUUAACUACUAUGUGUAUCACAAACAUAGAGAAUAAAAUGGUAAAAUUCACUCAAGCUAGUCGCGUGAUUGAGGAGUUGUCUACCUCCUGAUAGCACUCUCCAUAAUGACCAUGGACUCAAAUGCUUUAAUGAGUUGUGUCAAACGAUUCCAGGGACAUAAUCGCAACACAAUCCUCGUGAAUUAAAGUAACAUACAUAUAUGUAUAAAAUAUAGCAACCAAGUUUGAUACGAGUCAAAAUAAAUACAAUGAACAUAAAUAGUUUAGGACAUGCUUUUCCACCCCAAAACAUUUAAAAACUGAAAAUAGGGGAAGGUGUGAAUACUCACAAUUCUUUGAGAUAAUGCAAAUGGUGCCUUGAACUAUGCUCCACUCGUACCACUAUCAAUUCCUAUAACGAUGUUACACACUAAUGAGUCUCUAAUUGAAAUUUAAUACUAGCAUACUUACUUCUACAUUAGAAUUAUGCCAAUAAUGUGUCAAAAUUUUGAUAUUGAUAAGUCAUAAGUAUUUUUCUAUGAGAAUUAAAUUUCCAUGAAUCAAUUAUUAUAUAACAAUUUAAGUGGAAAAUUCUCAUUAUUGAAGUGUCAAUAUUUAACAUUUUAAGAAAUGUUCCAAUGAUUAAAUAUUCAUAAACUAAAUCAAUUUACUUCUAAAAUUUUCCAAACUUAGUAUUUUAGUUUCAAUUGAAGUCAAAGAUGUUAAGAUAAAUUUUCUUGAAUUUUUGAUUUGUCUAUAUGUUUUUGACAAUUUUAAUUCCUUGAAUAAUCAUAAAAUCAUGAAAAAAAAUAGUAAACUAUCAUGAAAAAUUCUUAAAAAUUUUUUGUAACUGUUUUAAAGUGUACAUAAUCUGGGAAAUAUUUUUAAAGUCAAUUUUGGAUAGUGAAUCCCUAUUUUUAGAAUUUAAGUGUGUUUAAUACUAAGAAAAUAGAAAUGAAUACUAAAUAGUUAUGAAAAUUCUCCAAACAUUGUGCACUACUGAUAUGCAAGAUAUAUAAUCUGGGAAAAAUAAUAAAUGUAUUUUCAAACAGCUUAACAUGAUUUUUCUGUUAUUGUGUUAUAGCAAUAAUCAAAAUAAAUAGGAAACAAUUUAUAAAAUUCUCCAAACUUUUUGUUCCACUGGUAAUUAAUAAAUAUAAGCUGGAAAAAAUAUUCAACUUGGUUUUCAAAUAGUUUAACUAUUUUUCUUUAUUUUAUUCAUUUAAAUAAUCAUUAAUUCAUGAAAAAUUAUUUAACAGAAGGUAAAACUCACUAAACUUUUUAUCUAUGAUUUAUAUAUAAUAUAGGAUACACUGAUGAAGUUUCAUAAUUUUUGAAUAAAUGUAGUAGUUUUUCAUCAAUUUAAUCUCUUAAACAUUUAUUAAAUCGGUAAAAAUAAGAAAUUGUCUUGGAAAAAUCUGGAAACUUUUUCAUAGAGUCUCUACGAUUUCUAGAAGAUGUGAAAAUUAAGAAAUAUGGAUUUGGACAUUCAUUACAUUAUUUUUCUAUUUAUUUCUCUUCAAAAUAAAUAAAUUAGAAUUAAAUAGAAAGCAACCUUAGAAAUAUAUGCAACUUAAUGAAACGUCUUUUCUCAGUGCAUAGGUGAUAUCUGAAAUUUACCAGAAUUUAUUGACCAUCAAAAGUACUUUAUAUGAAUUAUUACUCAAUUUUCUUGUAAAAAUAAUAAUAAAUCAAGAAAAAUGAUUUAGUUUUCAGUAAAUUUGCAGAUCAUCUUGUUUGUUCUCUUGAUCAGAAAAGAAUGUUUAUAUAUUUAUUUGUGAAUAAAUCUUUUAUCACAUAUUUCAAAGCUUUUUAACAGCAUACUUUGAUCAUCAAGCAUCUAAAGCUUGAAGAUCAUCACAUGCAUGUUGGUUUUUGGGUGAAAUACUAUCAUCGGCCAUCUUCAUAAAAAUCGUGUUUAUGAACAUAGGAUUAAUAAUCCAUCCAUAGAAUGGUGUAGAAGUAGAAAAAUAUGCAUGACAUGGUGAAAUUAUGAGUGAAAAUGAAGGGAUAAUGCUUGGUUUUUGUGAUUACCUUAAAAAGAACAAUAGAAGAAGAUGAUUUUUGGUGUCUUGUGACUCAUUUUUCUGGAAAUAUUUCGUGAGUUUGAGGGGAGGAUGAGAGAAAAUGGUGGUGGAGUGUGAGAGAGAGUGAAGAGUGAAAGAGAAGGAAGUAUGUAGGAGGAUAAAAUGAUUAUUGUCUUGGGGAUGAGUGUCAUGGAGAGGGGGUGGACGACUUUUGAGGGUAUAAUGCCCUCCCACUCUUUUAAUUUUAUAAAAAAAAAAGUUGAAUUGUUUUUAUAACAAUAUCAAACUUUUUAUAAAAUAUACACCCUAACCUAGUUUUUAUUUAUGAAACCUUGAUUUUUGACUUAUAAAUUAAGGACAAAAAUGUUAAUGAUUUAAUUUGUAAUUUCCAAGAUUAUAUUUUCCUGAAUUUAAUUAUUUUAAAUUGAUAUUCUAAGGUGCAUAAUUAUUUUCAUAUAAUUUUUGAGGUUAAAGUUUAUAAAAUUAAUUAUUUAGUGUUUUUCGGAUUUUGCUAAACUUUGAAUAUCGAAAUAAAUUGAAUCUUUGAGACUCCAAAUUAUUUUUGUGUUCCCUAACUCUUAUUCAAGUUAGAAAUAAUGUUUGUAAUUUUUUUAUGAGUUUAUUGACAUUCUAUGUAGUGAUUCCGAGAUUCAAAAAAAAUUGAGGAAUCAAGUAUACUAGUCCUAGUUUCAACUUUUACGUAAGAUACUAUAUGACUCUAACCCAAUUUCUGCUUCUACGUCAAGUGCAUUAUGUGUAUAUAUGAUUCAUGAAAAGGUGUUCAAGUGAAGGAAUGACCCGAAUUUGAAUAGGUGUUACAGUUAAAGUAACUAUAGAAGUUACGUAUCAAUGUGAAAUCUAAGUACAAUGUCCAUCGUUUCUAAUUGUUUCCUAGUUUCUAGUAGGUUAUAACAUAGCUCCUAGUUACAGAGUCUAGUAUGUGUUGUGCCUAUAUGUGCAACUAAGUUUAUUCAAAUCUAGAACUGUAUUAAAUUUUGACAGUUGUCACAUAAAUUUUAUGAAACACCUAGAUCUUUUGAGAUUCAUUGAAUCUUUCCAAUGGCAUGUUUAAUAUUUGUUAUGCUCUCACCUUUCUAAAUGGGAUACCGAGGAUCACAAACGAGAUGUGAAUAAGCAUGAAAACCUGCAUGACAACUUUGAGGUCAUUUAUCAUCUCACAUUCAUGUGCCAGUUAACCAUACACACUACAUCAACACUAAUAAUUUCUGAAUUAUGCCAUCAUUUCAACUUUAUAGUACCACAUUAGUGUGUUGGUUAACCAUGUACGCUCCACUAACAACUAAUAAAUAAAUGUCGUGUGUUUUCAUGUCUUAACAUACAAUUUCACAUUUUUCCUAAAGUAACUAGAGUGAGAUCUUUUAAAAUGAAGGUUUUAGUACUUGACAGAUUAUAAUUUUAAUCUGAUUAUGUCCUAUCGAACCCGUUCAGCUAAAGUUCCCCCACCACACAGGAAAGGUGGGAGAAAAAGACACCCAUUCAACGGUUCUUUUAUAGGCCGUUUCCUUAUACCCUCCUUGUAGCAUUGUGAUAAUGUCUAUUUUAUGCAUAUAUUUAUGACAUUUUCAUAUUAUUUUUUACUAUAUUUUAAUGUUAUUUAGAACUACAAAAUACUUAAUAUUCUUUGAAAUGUUCAACUUUAGUUAAAAUGGGAGCUGGAAUGCAAAAGGAGGAGAAAGGAGCUAAAAAAACACAAAAAUGAUGUUGUUGGAUAGCUUGAACCCUUGUCAUUGUUUUAGCCAUAUCCCAUGACUCGUAAGUUCGAUUGAUGAGAUUAAAAAUGAUCUGAAAACUAGAAAAAAUUUCGUGUUCUGAGAAAAGGUUGAUUCUCAUUUACCACGACGUGGUAAAUCGAAACUUCGUGAUCGUUGAGAUUGACUUGGAGAAUACGGGAUAUACAUUAGGACCACGACGUGGUGCAAUUACCACUUCGUGGUGAUCAGGUUUUUGGGAAUCUAUAUAUUUCGAGCAUCUGGAUGAUUUUUAGGGGGGAUUUAUGACAUUAAUUGAUCCUAGGUCGACAAGAAACCUUAGAGAAGCUGUUUUAACAGUCUAAAAGGCGGUCGGAAGGCCGUUAAGCUGACAUGACAAAGAUCUGAAGGAUGAGGGAGUGGAUUCAUAUCGGAGAUCAUGUGGUUUGUUGUUCUGACCAUGAUUAGCAUUCCACUGUGAUUCCAUGAUGUGCUAUUUUUCUGAUUUGAGUGUUAAAACCUUUUACUUGGUGUUUAUGGUUUAAUGAAUCUUCGAGUUUAUGGUUUAAUUGCUAUUUGGAUUGUUUAUUCUUAUUUAAUUUAUUUUUUCAAGUUUGAUUGAAAGAGCCACAUGUUUUAAAGAUUGUUACUUUAUUCUUUGUUGCUGAAUUAAUAGAUUUGAGAUGACCAUUUUGAUUGUAUUAAUUUGAAUGACAGUUUUCAAUGACCAUUGGUGAUUAUGACUAGAGUUGGGCCAAAACCUAGGGUUAGGAAAUAAAGUGGUGAACUUUAAUGUGUGUGCAUGAGUAGAUGACCAUUCUAUGCAUGAUUUAACUCCUAUGACCAUUAGUGUUAAAUAAGAUCAAAUCUUGCUUAAUACGAACUAAAUACUGAUUUGCAUGAUUGUUUGUUCACUUGAUCAAUGAAUUAAUAGUUAUGUUGAAAUCAAAGGAUUAGUAGUGUGAUGAUGAUGCUAGUAAUAUUAGGAAUCGUUGAAUAAUGAAUGAAUAUCCAUUUCACUUGAGUAAUUAACCAUGAUUUUGAGAUGUAAUCCAAUCUAAACUAAAGUACAUUAAGUGAUUUGUCUUCAGUCAGUUUAUCGAUAUUUGUUGUUUAGUUGUUCAUUUGAGAUUAAAUUCCAUAAAACCCAUAUUGAUUGCUUUUAUCUGUAACCUAUAAUAAAAAAAAAACUCCAAAUUAAUUCACCACUAUUUCCUAGUGUUCGACACAUGGUCUAUUAUUGCACGAUUAGGUUCACUACCUAGUGUAUUUAAUAGUUUGUUUGCAAUGAAAUCAGUUUUAUAAAUUUAAAACAUGAGCAAUUAAAUUAUAAAUUUAAAACAUGAGCAAUUAAAUUAUACACAUAAAAACCCACAUCACAUGGCUUCAUGAAUGAGGCUUAUUAUUGAUUCGACUAACUUUUAUUAUACAUAUAGUAAUUAAUCUUGUAAUACAUAUAUCAGCGUGUAUUUUAAACCAUCCAAAAUACAAGGUUUAAAUAUUAAUUAUAUUAAUUAAACUUUUAAUUACUUAAUAUUAAACCAAUUAUGAUUGAUCAUUAUUCUUUAAUUAAACAAUUAUUUAAAAUGAUUAAAGCAUUCAGGAAUUAAAUUAUUAUCUUUAAUUAAACAAUUAAUUAAUUAAUUCAAAUUUAAUCCCUAUCAUGGAUUUAUAUUUAUCUUCUAAUUAGUCUUAUAACUAAAUUACUUAUUAGAUCUAUUAGGAUCAUAUUAAUUAAUCAUUAUCUUGUCUAAGAUUAUAUCAUAAUAUUUAGGGAUUCUAUUUUAAUCAUCUAAGACAAGCAAAAAUGGAUUUUGGCUGAAAAUGAAACAGAUAAUUACCAAAUAAAACCACAUAAAUCAUAUUAGUCAAAAAAAUCCCGAAAAUUUGGAUAUGAGUCAAGUUCACGUCGUGAUAGAUGCACUGUCACAUCGUGAAGACAAUUUUUGUGAAAAAGUUUUCUUCGAUUCAAUAAAUGUGCUUUCAAUGUUAGACACACCAAGUAGCUUUGAUACUACUAAUGGGUUUAUUAGGUUACAACAAAAUGCUAAAUUCGGAAAAUCACUUAACAAUUUAGAAAGGGCACAUGCAACCUAAAAUGAUCUAUGUCUUAUACUUUGAAGGCAACAUAGUCUGAAUAAAAAAAUCUAGCAUAAACCCUAGUUAAAUCAGAAUCAUAGAAGUGUUAGGGUUUACAUACCUUAGAGUUGUUAUUGUAAACAAGCCCUUGAAUCCCUUCUUUUGUGUGUUUAGAAAGCAAACAUCAAAAGUAUGAUACUUUUAAUGGCUCACACCCAAAAUCGUAGAACCAUUGUUACAUAGAAACCCCAGGGUUGCCAUAUAAUUAUGCUAUAAUACAAUCAUAGGAUAGUUUACAAUAACAAAUAAUGAAACUGAAACAUUGAGAUGCCGAGUCAAUGACGAACAACCUUAAAAACGCCAAACCAUGGUAACAAAAUGGGAAACACCAUGACUAAUGGUGAAUUGUUUCAAUUUAAAUUACUUAUUAUUAACUGAGACUUUAGUAUUUCCAAUAAUUAUAUGAUACCUAGGUUUCUAAUAAAUUAAUAAAGCUAUAAUUCAAUGAAGUUAUUUAACACUUAAAAGUAAUUAGCCUAUCAUUAGGCUAAUACAAACAAUAACAAGAAAAAGUAAAGAAGACUUAAAAACGUGAAAAAGAACACGGUAAGCUGAAGGAACCAGAAUACUUCAAAGAUUAUUUUAUAACUUAGAUGUUCUACUGGAUAAUGAGGAAGGAGAAGGAGUAUAAGA